GGGAAUUAUUGGGGCGUAAGAGCUCGUAGGUGGUUGGUCACGUCUGCUGUGGAAACGCAACGCUUAACGUUGCGCGGGCAGUGGGUACGGGCUGACUAGAGUGCAGUAGGGGAGUCUGGAAUUCCUGGUGUAGCGGUGAAAUGCGCAGAUAUCAGGAGGAACACCGGUGGCGAAGGCGGGACUCUGGGCUGUAACUGACACUGAGGAGCGAAAGCAUGGGGAGCGAACAGGAUUAGAUACCCUGGUAGUCCAUGCCGUAAACGUUGGGCACUAGGUGUGGGGGACAUUCCACGUUCUCCGCGCCGUAGCUAACGCAUUAAGUGCCCCGCCUGGGGAGUACGGCCGCAAGGCCAAAACUCAAAGGAAUUGACGGGGGCCCGCACAAGCGGCGGAGCAUGCGGAUUAAUUCGAUGCAACGCGAAGAACCUUACCAAGGCUUGACAUACACCAGACCGUUCUGGAAACAGUUCUUCCCCUUUGGGGUUGGUGUACAGGUGGUGCAUGGUUGUCGUCAGCUCGUGUCGUGAGAUGUUGGGUUAAGUCCCGCAACGAGCGCAACCCUCGUUCUAUGUUGCCAGCACGUGAUGGUGGGAACUCAUAGGAGACUGCCGGGGUCAACUCGGAGGAAGGUGGGGAUGACGUCAAAUCAUCAUGCCCUUUAUGUCUUGGGCUUCACGCAUGCUACAAUGGCCGGUACAGAGAGAGGCGAGCCCGUGAGGGUGAGCGAAUCUCUUAAAGCCGUUCUCAGUUCGGAUCGUAGUCUGCAAUUCGACUACGUGAAGUCGGAGUCGCUAGUAAUCGCAGAUCAGCAACGCUGCGGUGAAUACGUUCCCGGGGC
Molecule: ribosomal RNA, 838 nt
Filed under: uncultured bacterium
Lineage: Bacteria
Description: bacterial SSU rRNA
Rfam family: Bacterial small subunit ribosomal RNA
Source: RNAcentral